This 1229-nucleotide long non-coding RNA is filed under the name Daphnia pulicaria. RNAcentral describes it as "uncharacterized LOC124340611, transcript variant X5". Lineage: Eukaryota; Metazoa; Arthropoda; Branchiopoda; Diplostraca; Daphniidae. The record is from RNAcentral.
UUCAGUGUUUCACAGAGACUGUCUUGAGGCAACAGCGGAGAAACAAUGUCUGAAUGAGGAGCUUACUCGGUGAAUUCGAAACUAAUUGAAACAUCUAAUCAAUUUGAAAAACUUGACUGAAACAAUCAAAGGACUAUAAUUGAAAGCAAUCCAGCCGUCCCGUCCAAUCGUUCGUGAAUGCUAAGGAAGGAUUGUUAGCUGUCACUAGGUGGCUAAAACUAUGUCCACUUGACGGCGCGAUGUCAAAGGCACUGAGCGAAAAGGGUGGAGCUGGACUGCUGAAGAUGCUGUGUACAGUUUCCCAAAAUUUCGUCUCUUACUACCUUUACCGGGUGAGCGUUUCGUCACAUGCAGAAAAACUUCAGAACAAUUAAAUCUAAUGGGCACAUGGAUUUGCUGCAGUCAUCCAGUGAAAGGUGUGAAUAAAUUGAGCUGUUGCAUGCAGUCUUUGGUGCCAAUGUUGUCCUGGAAUGUGGGAGAGCUCCAUGCUUCAAGUCUUAUGGGAUCAGCCAUAUAUCUUGGUUGACGCUGGAUCAUGCUGCAUUGUGGUUGCCGAAAUCUUGGACAUCUAGUAGAACUGCAAGAAGCCUUCUUGAAAUGCAGUGAUGUUGCUGUCAAAUGUGGCAUGUUGUUGCAGCCUGCUGGUGAAGGAUUUUUUGCAUCAAGUUAAACUGUUACUGUUCCUGUGUACCGGACUGCUGGUGUUGUGCACAGAAGUUCCAUCCAGAUUUAAUUGUUAUUUGUGACUAUGCAGUCAACGGUUUAUAUGUUGAAAAGAAAAAGAAACAGUUCCUUGGUGUUGUAUCGCUGGUGCUGUGCCACAGAAGUAACAUCCUGUAUUUUGUUUAAUUGCCAUUUGCGUCUAUGAAGUUAAUCGUUUAUAUGUUGAGAAACAACAAAAACAGUAAAAACGGGGAAUAUUUACGUUGAAGUAAUAAACAAGCCUUCGUGAUUGGAAAUCAACGAGGAGAUGGGGGGGGGGGUAUUUGAUAUUCAUUAACUAGAAGCAUCGUGGUUUUUUUUAAUAAGGUAGAAAUAAAAUUCUUUGUCUAUCACAUCCAUAUAUACCUACCUGUAUAACCACAUCUAUUCCUCAAACCCCAUAGCCUCCACCAACAUCCACAUACCUUAACCCCCAUUUUCCCACAAAUGUCAAAUAUCUGUAAUAUGUAAAUAUUAUUGUUAAAUAACUAAACAUGAUCAAUCAAAUAAACAAACUGAAACUUUUA